Long non-coding RNA from Clupea harengus (Atlantic herring), 1271 nucleotides. NCBI's taxonomy places the organism in Eukaryota, Metazoa, Chordata, Actinopteri, Clupeiformes, Clupeidae. The record is from Ensembl.
GUAGUUGGUUUGUCCUGGUUUGUAGUUGACUCUUCUCCACGAUCAGGUUGGAAUUACUGGUCCUCAGCUGGUCUCUCUCUCUCUGUAGCUGGUUUCUCUCUGUCUGUAGCUGGUUUCUCUCUGCAGUAAGAUGAGAGUUACUGGUCUGUAGUUGGUCGGUCUUGGUCUGUAGUUGUUUCUUCUCCACGGCCAGGUUGGAAUUACUGGUCCUCAGCUGGUCCCUCUCUGUCUGUAGCUGGUUUCUCUCUGCAGUAAGAUGAGUUACUGGUCAGUAGUUGAUCUCUCUUGGUCUGUAGUUGUUUACUCUCUAUGGCCAGGCUAGAGAUACUGGUCCUUAGCUGCUCUCUCUCUCUCUCUCUCUCUCUCUCCGUCUGUUGCUAGUUUCUCUUUACAGUCAAAUUAGAGUAACUGGUCUGUUUCUGUCUGGAGCUGGUUUCUCUAUGCGGUUAGAUUGGAGUUACUGAGCAGUGGUCUGUCCUUUUAAAUCUGGUUUCUCUCUUGCUGUAGCUGGUUUAUCUAAGUGACUAGGUUGGUAUAACUGGUCAGGAGCUGGUCCCUCUCUGUCCGCAGCUGGUCCCACUCUGUCUGUAGCUGGUUUCUCUCUGCAGUAAGAUGAGAGUUACUGGUCUGUAGAUGAUCUGUUUUGGUCUGUAGUUGUUUCCUCUCUAUGGCCAGGUCCAAUACACUAGUCCUUAGCUGCUCUCUCUCUUUUUCUGUCUUGUUGGUUUUUCUUUACAGGUAAAUUAGAGUAACUGGUCAGUAGCUGGUCUGUUUCUGUCUGUAGCUGGUUUCUCUAUGCGGUUAGAUUGGAGUUACUGUGGCUUGUACAUUUUUUAAUUGGUUUCUCUCUAUCUGUAGCUGGUUUAUCUAAGUGACUAGGUUUGUAUAACUGGUCAGGAGCUGUUCUCUCUCUGCCUCUAACAAAAUUACACAACUGAUCAGUAGUUUGUCUCACUGUGUUUGGUGCUAGUUCACUAAGUCAAAUUAGAAUAACUGGUCAGUAGCUGGUCUAAAUACAUUUUUUCUCUGUUGUCAGAUUUGGGUUAUUGGGGUCUGUCUAUAGUCUAUUGCUGGUUUUGUCUAUACAGUGAGAUGGGAGUUACCGAUCAGUAGCUGGUCUUUCUCUGUCUGCAGAUUGUUUCUCUCCUCAGUCAGAUUAAAGUGACUGGUUUGAAGUUGGUCUCUCUCUGUCUGGAGCUGGUCCUUCUGUAUAACAUACAUGACACACAGUCCCGUUGCUACCAGCAGCAGCAGCAAACACAGCAGUCCCA